This 354-nucleotide unclassified non-coding RNA is filed under the name soil metagenome. RNAcentral describes it as "partial contains 5.8S ribosomal RNA, internal transcribed spacer 2, and large subunit ribosomal RNA". The stretch from base 1 to 120 matches the Rfam family "5.8S ribosomal RNA", at positions 35 to 154 of the family's 154-position model. The record is from RNAcentral.
GAUGAAGAACGUAGCGAAAUGCGAUAAGUAGUGUGAAUUGCAGAAUUUAGUGAAUCAUCGAAUCUUUGAACGCACAUUGCGCCUCCUGGUAUUCCGGGAGGCAUGCCUGUUCGAGCGUCAUUAAAAUCACUCAAGCUUAGGUUUACCUAUUGCUUGGUCUUGGAGAUGGAAGCCAAUUUAUUGGAAUCCUCUUCGAAAUUCAAUGGCGAAGACCCUUGCUCUCCCAAGUGUAGUAAUAACUUAUGUCACUGAAGGAAGCGAGAAAUCUUCUGCCGUAACCCCCAUAUUUUCUAUGAUUGACCUCGGAUCAGGUAGGGAUACCCGCUGAACUUAAGCAUAUCAAUAAGCGGAGGA